UCGAAGAUCCUCGUACUGGUGGCGCCAUC
RNAcentral lists this small RNA (29 nucleotides) under Bombyx mori (domestic silkworm). RNAcentral's name for it is "ovarian small RNA-53". Lineage: Eukaryota; Metazoa; Arthropoda; Insecta; Lepidoptera; Bombycidae. The record is from RNAcentral.